GAUGAGCGCUAGCUACAGGCUUAACACAUGCAAGUCGGGGGGAAACGACAUCGAAAGCUUGCUUUUGAUGGGCGUCGACCGGCGCACGGGUGAGUAACGCGUAUCCAACCUGCCCACCACUUGGGGAUAACCUUGCGAAAGUAAGACUAAUACCCAAUGAUAUCUCUAGAAGACAUCUGAAGGAGAUUAAAGAUUUAUCGGUGAUGGAUGGGGAUGCGUCUGAUUAGCUUGUUGGCGGGGUAACGGCCCACCAAGGCGACGAUCAGUAGGGGUUCUGAGAGGAAGGUCCCCCACAUUGGAACUGAGACACGGUCCAAACUCCUACGGGAGGCAGCAGUGAGGAAUAUUGGUCAAUGGGCGAGAGCUUGAACCAGCCAAGUAGCGUGCAGGAUGACGGCCCUAUGGGUUGUAAACUGCUUUUAUAAGGGAAUAAAGUGAGCCUCGUGAGGCUUUUUGCAUGUACCUUAUGAAUAAGGACCGGCUAAUUCCGUGCCAGCCGCCGCCGUAA
RNAcentral lists this ribosomal RNA (508 nucleotides) under uncultured bacterium. Its description in RNAcentral is "partial 16S ribosomal RNA". It matches the Rfam family "Bacterial small subunit ribosomal RNA", at positions 28 to 523 of the family's 1533-position model. The record is from RNAcentral.